GUGCUCGCUUCGGGAGCACAUAUACUAAAAUUGGAACGAUACAGAGAAGAUUAGCAUGGCUAAGGAUGACAUAAAUUCAUGAGCGUUCCAUAUUUUA
Molecule: small nuclear RNA, 97 nt
Filed under: Macaca fascicularis (crab-eating macaque)
Lineage: Eukaryota; Metazoa; Chordata; Mammalia; Primates; Cercopithecidae
Source: RNAcentral